GGGGAUGUAGCUCAAUUGGUAGAGUACUUGCUUAUCAAGCACGAGGUCCUGGGUUCCAUCCCCA
Molecule: transfer RNA, 64 nt
Filed under: Neotoma lepida (desert woodrat)
Lineage: Eukaryota; Metazoa; Chordata; Mammalia; Rodentia; Cricetidae
Rfam family: tRNA
About the family: Transfer RNA (tRNA) molecules are approximately 80 nucleotides in length. Their secondary structure includes four short double-helical elements and three loops (D, anti-codon, and T loops). Further hydrogen bonds mediate the characteristic L-shaped molecular structure. tRNAs have two regions of fundamental functional importance: the anti-codon, which is responsible for specific mRNA codon recognition, and the 3' end, to which the tRNAs corresponding amino acid is attached (by aminoacyl-tRNA synthetases). tRNAs cope with the degeneracy of the genetic code in two manners: having more than one tRNA (with a specific anti-codon) for a particular amino acid; and 'wobble' base-pairing, i.e. permitting non-standard base-pairing at the 3rd anti-codon position.
Source: Rfam by way of RNAcentral